Molecule: long non-coding RNA, 342 nt
Filed under: Mytilus galloprovincialis (Mediterranean mussel)
Lineage: Eukaryota; Metazoa; Mollusca; Bivalvia; Mytilida; Mytilidae
Source: RNAcentral
GGGGCAGCAACCUAUCAACGAGUUGUCCGAUUCAUCUCAAAAUUUAAGGGCAGAUAGAUCUUGACCUGAUAAACAAUUUUACUAAAUGUCAGAUUUGCUCUUAAUGCUUUUAUUUUUGAUUGAUAAGCCAAAAACUGCAUUUUUCCCCUAUGUUCUAUUUUUAGCCAUGGCGGCCAUCUUGGUUGGUUGGCCGGAUCACCGCACACAAUUUUUAAACUAGAUACCCAAAUGAUGAUUGUGGAUAAGUUUAGUUUAAUUUAAUCCAGUAGUUUCAGAGGAGAAGAUUUUUGUAAAAGAUAAUUAAGAUUUACGAAAAAUGGUUAAAAAUUGACUAUAAAGGGC